RNAcentral lists this ribosomal RNA (500 nucleotides) under uncultured bacterium. RNAcentral describes it as "partial 16S ribosomal RNA". It matches the Rfam family "Bacterial small subunit ribosomal RNA", at positions 30 to 523 of the family's 1533-position model. The record is from RNAcentral.
AUUGAACGCUGGCGGCAUGCCUUACACAUGCAAGUCGAACGGCAGCACGGGAGCAAUCCUGGUGGCGAGUGGCGAACGGGUGAGUAAAGUAUCGGAACGUGCCCAGUCGUGGGGGAUAACGUAGCGAAAGUUACGCUAAUACCGCAUACGAUCUAUGGAUGAAAGCGGGGGAUCGCAAGACCUCGCGCGAUUGGAGCGGCCGAUAUCAGAUUAGGUAGUUGGUGGGGUAAAGGCUCACCAAGCCGACGAUUUGUAGCUGGUCUGAGAGGACGACCAGCCACACUGGGACUGAGACACGGCCCAGACUCCUACGGGAGGCAGCAGUGGGGAAUUUUGGACAAUGGGCGAAAGCCUGAUCCAGCCAUGCCGCGUGCAGGAUGAAGGCCUUCGGGUUGUAAACUGCUUUUGUACGGAGCGAAAAGGUUUGGCCUAAUAAGCUGAGCUCAUGACGGUACCGUAAGAAUAAGCACCGGCUAACUACGUGCCAGCCGCCGCGGUAA